This 689-nucleotide ribosomal RNA is filed under the name Clostridioides difficile. RNAcentral's name for it is "bacterial LSU rRNA". It matches the Rfam family "Bacterial large subunit ribosomal RNA", at positions 1897 to 2584 of the family's 2925-position model. The record is from RNAcentral. Lineage: Bacteria; Bacillati; Bacillota; Clostridia; Peptostreptococcales; Peptostreptococcaceae.
AAUCGAAGCAGUGAACUUAAGCCCCAGUAAACGGCGGCCGUAACUAUAACGGUCCUAAGGUAGCGAAAUUCCUUGUCGGGUAAGUUCCGACCCGCACGAAAGGCGUAACGAUUUGGGCACUGUCUCAACAACAGACUCGGUGAAAUUGUAAUUCCGGUGAAGAUGCCGGAUACCUGCGACAGGACGGAAAGACCCCAUGGAGCUUUACUGUAGCUUGACAUUGGGUCUUGGUACUACAUGUACAGGAUAGGUGGGAGGCUUUGAAACCAGGACGCCAGUUUUGGCGGAGCCAUCCUUGGGAUACCACCCUUGUAGUACUGGGACUCUAACCAUAGGCCAUGAAUCUGGUCUUGGGACACUGUCAGGUGGGCAGUUUGACUGGGGCGGUCGCCUCCCAAAAGGUAACGGAGGCGCUCAAAGGUUCUCUCAGUACGGUCGGAAAUCGUACGUAGAGUGUAAAGGCAAAAGAGAGCUUGAUUGCAAGACAUACAGGUCGAGCAAGGAGGAAAAUCGGACUUAGUGAUCCGGUGGUUCUGCGUGGAAGGGCCAUCGCUCAACGGAUAAAAGCUACCCUGGGGAUAACAGGCUUAUCUCCCCCAAGAGUCCACAUCGACGGGGAGGUUUGGCACCUCGAUGUCGGCUCAUCACAUCCUGGGGCUGUAGUAGGUCCCAAGGGUUGGGCUGUUCGC